RNAcentral lists this ribosomal RNA (253 nucleotides) under uncultured bacterium. RNAcentral describes it as "partial 16S ribosomal RNA". It matches the Rfam family "Bacterial small subunit ribosomal RNA", at positions 524 to 776 of the family's 1533-position model. The record is from RNAcentral.
UACGUAGGGUGCAAGCGUUGUCCGGAAUUAUUGGGCGUAAAGAGCUCGUAGGCGGUUUGUCGCGUCUGCUGUGAAAACUCGGGGCUUAACCCCGGGCCUGCAGUGGGUACGGGCAGACUAGAGUGCGGUAGGGGAGACUGGAAUUCCUGGUGUAGCGGUGAAAUGCGCAGAUAUCAGGAGGAACACCGGUGGCGAAGGCGGGUCUCUGGGCCGUAACUGACGCUGAGGCGCGAAAGCUAGGGGAGCAAACGGG